Molecule: ribosomal RNA, 305 nt
Filed under: uncultured bacterium
Lineage: Bacteria
Description: bacterial SSU rRNA
Rfam family: Bacterial small subunit ribosomal RNA
Source: RNAcentral
CCUACGGGGGGCAGCAGUGGGGGAUAUUGCACAAUGGGGGAAACCCUGAUGCAGCGACGCCGCGUGGGCGAAGAAGUAUUUCGGUAUGUAAAGCCCUAUCAGCAGGGAAGAAGAAAUGACGGUACCUGAGUAAGAAGCACCGGCUAAAUACGUGCCAGCAGCCGCGGUAAUACGUAUGGUGCAAGCGUUAUCCGGAUUUACUGGGUGUAAAGGGAGCGCAGGCGGCACGGCAAGCCUGAUGUGAAAGCCCGCGGCCCAACCGCGGGACUGCAUUGGGAACUACCGGGCUGGAGUGCCGGAGAGGG